This 450-nucleotide ribosomal RNA is filed under the name uncultured bacterium. RNAcentral's name for it is "partial 16S ribosomal RNA". It matches the Rfam family "Bacterial small subunit ribosomal RNA", at positions 354 to 796 of the family's 1533-position model. The record is from RNAcentral.
GUGGGGAAUCUUCCGCAAUGGACGAAAGUCUGACGGAGCGACGCCGCGUGAGUGAAGAAGGCCUUCGGGUCGUAAAGCUCUGUCAUCAGGGACGAACGGCCGGUGGAGUGGAAAGCCACCGGAUUGACGGUACCUGAGAAGGAAGCCACGGCUAACUACGUGCCAGCAGCCGCGGUAAUACGUAGGUGGCAAGCGUUGUCCGGAAUUAUUGGGCGUAAAGCGCGCGCAGGUGGGAUCUUAAGUCCAUUUUUAAAGUUCGGAGCUUAACUCCGUGAUGGGAUGGAAACUGGGAUUCUUGAGUACCGGAGAGGAAAGCGGAAUUCCCCGUGUAGCGGUGAAAUGCGUAGAUAUGGGGAGGAACACCAGUGGCGAAGGCGGCUCACUGGCUCGAUACUGACGCUGAGGUGCGAAAGCGUGGGGAGCAAACAGGAUUAGAAACCCUGGUAGUCC